AUGUCCCGGGCUGAAGUUCGCACCACUUUCCUAGAGGAUCGUGCAGAGGAUUACCAUGGGGACACUUAUCACUUGAUUGCCAGGAACUGUUACCAUUUCACAGCUGACGUCUGCAAGCACUUCACGGGAAAGCCAACUCCUGGAUGGGUGAAUCGACUUGCCAGAUUAGUUGCAGCACUAUGUUCCAUCUGCAACUCUGUGCUGACUGAAAACAUCAAGGUUUCAGCGGUUAGAGGUGAAACUGCACACCUUGAAUUCUCUGUCACUAAGAAACAAGUUACUAACCCAUCUAGUCUUGCCGAUAAUAGCCGAGAACCACAACCACCAGCAUGCAGCUCAGGCAAUGGGCGGAGAACGGAUGGUUGCCCACUUCACGUAAAGCGAAUGGUGGAUGGAAGGCGACCUCACAAGGAACCAGGGCCACGACUUGCAGUGGGCAACCGGUGGCGAAUGGAGGGCUUCCUCGCCGGUUACCUCAUCUAUUAG
This 486-nucleotide ribosomal RNA is filed under the name Triticum aestivum (bread wheat). Its description in RNAcentral is "partial small subunit ribosomal RNA". Lineage: Eukaryota; Viridiplantae; Streptophyta; Magnoliopsida; Poales; Poaceae. The record is from RNAcentral.